GAACGGGUGAGUAACACGUGGGUAACCUGCCCUGUACUCUGGGAUAAGCCCGGGAAACUGGGUCUAAUACCGGAUAUGACCUCUGAUCGCAUGAUCGGGGGUGGAAAGUUCCGGCGGUAUGGGAUGGACCCGCGGCCUAUCAGCUUGUUGGUGGGGUAAUGGCCUACCAAGGCGACGACGGGUAGCCGGCCUGAGAGGGUGACCGGCCACACUGGGACUGAGACACGGCCCAGACUCCUACGGGAGGCAGCAGUGGGGAAUAUUGCACAAUGGGCGAAAGCCUGAUGCAGCGACGCCGCGUGAGGGAUGACGGCCUUCGGGUUGUAAACCUCUUUCAGCAGGGACGAAGCGCAAGUGACGGUACCUGCAGAAGAAGCACCGGCUAACUACGUGCCAGCAGCCGCGGUAAUACGUAGGGUGCGAGCGUUGUCCGGAAUUAUUGGGCGUAAAGAGCUCGUAGGCGGUUUGUCGCGUCGGCCGUGAAAACUUGGGGCUUAACCCCGAGCCUGCGGUCGAUACGGGCAGACUUGAGUUCGGCAGGGGAGACUGGAAUUCCUGGUGUAGCGGUGAAAUGCGCAGAUAUCAGGAGGAACACCGGUGGCGAAGGCGGGUCUCUGGGCCGAUACUGACGCUGAGGAGCGAAAGCG
Molecule: ribosomal RNA, 647 nt
Filed under: Lentzea sp.
Lineage: Bacteria; Bacillati; Actinomycetota; Actinomycetes; Pseudonocardiales; Pseudonocardiaceae
Description: bacterial SSU rRNA
Rfam family: Bacterial small subunit ribosomal RNA
Source: RNAcentral